This 779-nucleotide ribosomal RNA is filed under the name uncultured organism. RNAcentral's name for it is "bacterial SSU rRNA". It matches the Rfam family "Bacterial small subunit ribosomal RNA", at positions 679 to 1460 of the family's 1533-position model. The record is from RNAcentral.
CGGUGAAAUGCGUAGAUAUCAGGAAGAACACCAGUGGCGAAGGCGGCUCUCUGGCCUAGAACUGACGCUGAAGCGCGAAAGCGUGGGGAGCGAACGGGAUUAGAUACCCCGGUAGUCCACGCCGUAAACGUUGUGUACUAGGUGUUAGUGCUUUAAGCACUAGUGCCGACGCUAACGCAUUAAGUACACCGCCUGGGGAGUACACCCGCAAGGGUUAAACUCAAAGAAAUUGACGGGGGCCCGCACAAGCGGUGGAGCAUGUGGUUUAAUUCGAUGAUACGCGAAGAACCUUACCAGGGCUUGAACUGUUUCUGACAGGUGUAGAGAUACACCCUCCUUCGGGCAGAUUCAGAGGUGCUGCAUGGUUGUCGUCAGCUCGUGUCGUGAGAUGUUGGGUUAAGUCCCGCAACGAGCGCAACCCUUACUCCUUGUUGCUAUCAGGUCAUGCUGGGCACUCUAGGGGAACUGCCGGUGAUAAACCGGAGGAAGGUGGGGAUGACGUCAAAUCAGCACGGCCCUUAUGUCCUGGGCUACACACGUGCUACAAUGGCCGGUACAAUGAGUUGCGAUGCCGCGAGGUGGAGCUAAUCUCAAAAAACCGGUCUCAGUUCGGAUUGCAGUCUGCAACUCGACUGCAUGAAGCUGGAAUCGCUAGUAAUCGGAGAUCAGCACGCUCCGGUGAUACGUUCCCGGGCAUUGUACACACCGCCCGUCACACCAUCCGAGUUGGCAGCACCACGAAGUGGCUGAGCUAACCGUUUACGGAGGCAGGUUACUAA